RNAcentral lists this long non-coding RNA (3653 nucleotides) under Homarus americanus (American lobster). RNAcentral's name for it is "uncharacterized LOC121864956, transcript variant X2". Lineage: Eukaryota; Metazoa; Arthropoda; Malacostraca; Decapoda; Nephropidae. The record is from RNAcentral.
GUGCAGGACUGCCAGGUAUCUUUCGUUUGUCAGUCACUUAGGUGAUUGAGUAUGGCUGUUAUUUGCUGUAGGCAAGUACUGGAAAUCAUCUAACCACGGCUGAGAUGGAGAAUACGGCAGCCCAGCACCAGUUUUAGAAGCUGAAAUUCUGACUUCCAUCAUCUUUGGCAGCAAUGACCUUGAUUUUGUGUGCAAGAUGAAGCCCUCCACUUCUCAAAGACUCAGUCAUCAUUCUUAUGGUCUACUGGUGUUUGCUAGUGUACCAUACUACCAGAGUAGAAUGUUGAGUGUUUUAAAUCAUACUGUAUGCAGUCAUCCUCCCCCAACCAUGGUUUUUCUAACCACGGUUUAAGUAUUCACUGUUCAGUAUAUACGAGUAUAUAUUGUCACCAGGUUUUCCUCCCUUGGUAUAAAAUUUUAAGUAUCCACAGGUUUCCACUGUGAAGCCGUGUCGCAAGCAACGAAGAUUAAAACGGCUCACCUCGGUGAAAGGCACAGAAUGAUAUGCAUGGGAGCUCACAGCGUCUCUGCCUUAUUUCCCUUCUACCCCGGCCUGGCCCAACCUGCCUUGUCUAUCUCACAGUGACCACCUUAUAUACAUCCCAUUAGACUGCUCUCAUUUUUUUGUAAACCAGCAGUUUUUGUUAAUUUUUUGCCCUGAAAAAUGGCUUCAAAGCGUAAAUCUAAUGAUAAGACUGUCGCUGUAACAAAGAGGGCGAGAAAAGUGCUGUCUUUAGAGCAGAAAGUGGUAAUUCUUGAUAAGCUUGCAUGUGGUGAGAGCAUAGUAGCAGUCGGGAAGUAUUUUCCUGUGAAUGAGUCGUCAGUGAGGACAAUAAAGAAAAAUGAAGCAACCAUUAGGGCUAGUGUUGCAGCAGGUGCACCAAAGAGCGCAAAAGUGACAUACAUGACCCGUGAUCCAUUCAUUGAAAAGACAGAGAAAAUGCUCUCUCUCUGGAUAGAAGAUAUGACUCAGAAAAAAGAACCACUCAAUAGUAAUAUUAUCUAGAAGAAGAUGCUGCAUAUCUACAACCACCUUGUGGAGCAAUCAGGCAGUGUAGUUAGUUCUUCACGAGGAACCAGCUUUCAGGCUAGCAAGGGCUAGUUUGAACUCUUCAAGAAACGAACCAGCAUUCCCAGCUUUAAGACCGUGGGGGAGGCAACAUCGGAAGACAAUGUAACUGCAGGAUUAUAUCCAGACAUGCUGAAGGAGCUGAUAGAGGAGAAGGGAUAUCUGUCAGAGCAGGUCUUCAAUGCUGACGAGACAGGUCUGUUUUGGAAAAGGAUGCCAGCAAGGCCUUCAUCUCCAAGGAAGAGAAGACUGCUCCAGGGAUCAAGGCAGCCAAAGACAGGUUGACCCUUCUAAUGUGAGCAAAUGUGUCUGGGGACUUUAUGACGAAAACGAUGCUCGUGUACAAGAAGGCGUGGGUUACUGGCAUGUUGUUCAUGGACUGGCUGCACAACUGUUUUUCUCACGACGUCAAGAUGUAUUUACUGAGGAAAAACCUAACAUUGAAGUGGUGUUCUUACCAUCCCACACCACUUCCCUGUUGCAGCCCUUAGAUCAGGGAGUUAUCAAGUGUUUCAAGGCAUAUUACACCUGCCAUACCUUUGUUGGCAUCCUUGAUGGCAUAGAAAAUGAUUCUUCACUGACUGUCUCCGAUUACUGGAAGAAAUAUACGAUAACCGACUGUGUUUCCAACAUCAAUGAGUCCUUAGACGAGGUCCAGCAGUAACAAUCAACGCCUGUUGGCAAAAAUUGUGGAAGGAAGUCGUACAUGACUUCACAGGAUUCCCCACGGUUGAUAAGGAUUGUGCAGCUGGCACAUACUGGGGUGGGGAAGGAUUUGAGGACCUGAAUGAGACUGAAGUAGAGGAACUACUGAAUGUCCACAGUGAGGAGCUGACUGAAGAGGACUUGGAUGAGGUUAUUGAGUUAAGCUCUUGCGACGAGGAGGGCAGUGAUAGCGAAGUGAAAGAGGAGAAGCCCAAGUUAACUCUCAAGGUUAUUGACAACAUCGUGCUACUGGGCAUAAAUCUCAGUGACAUGGUGAUCGAGGCUGAUCCUUUUAUGGAAAGAAGCCUAAAAUUAAAAAGAAAGUUAGAGGAAAUAAUGCAGCCUUUUAGGGAAGUGCAGAAGGGCUUUCAUUGGAAAAUGAAACAUCCAUCAUCCUCAGUUUUCUGAUGCCUUCGUCUGCCACCACCCCCUCCUCACAAACCGCCACCAUCACUCAUUCGUCUUGCACGAGUCCCACCACAAUCGUCCACUCGUCACGGACCAGCUCUCCUAGCACCACCAUUUUCUGCCCAAGUCUCUUGUCAAUGGAAUCGGAGUCAUCUGCAGAUGAUCCUGAGGUUGUGGUGGAGUCUGAGGAAUUGGAUGAUCUUGAGGCUAUGGACUCUGGCUAAAAAUGUCAUCAUUAUCACCAUGAAAGGUUAGCAAGAAAAUUUUUUAUUCUAUUUUAUUAGUCAGCAGAACAUGAAAUUCAUAGGUAAAAGUUAAUACUGUACUGUACUGUAAUUAUUUUAUUUAUUCUCCCAGUAAAUAGCUUACUUCUUAAUUUUAUUACAGGUAAGACAUGUUCAUUUUUAACCUUCCUACAUCCUCAACCCUUGUCUCUGUAGGUGUGCAUGUGAAUAAGUCGAGAGUCAGAUCCUGUACGCAGCACAGAAUACUAUUGCUACAGGUAGGCAGUCACACCUGGGCUGCUUUGCUGGGGCAAGCGUCAAUGUAAAUUACAACUCCGUGUUUAAAGUAACUUGUAUAAUUUUUGUUCUUUUUAUGCUUUCAUUAUUGUUAUUUAUUUGCUUUAUUUAUUGCCUUGUAUAUGCCUACAAUUUUAAGUUUUAAUGUUACAGUGUACUGUAUAGUUAAAGAGGAAAAUAUCACAUACAGAUUGGUUUUUUUACCUUAGUGAAUAUUUUAGGACUCCGAGCUUGUCUCUGGGAGUUUUUCAGGAACCUAACCCUCACAGUUAAGAGGAAAGACUGUACAGUAUUACACACAAAGUCGACAACUGUGUCACUAAAUGUCGGACUCUCAUUCCUCUUUGGUUAAAGGUCUGUAAACUAUAUCUUUUUAUGCAGCCAUUCUUCACAUAAAUUAUGCCUAAUUGCUGUUCUUUUUCUGCUUCAUACAGAGAACAAAAGCAGGAUAUGAACAACAGUCUCUUUCUAAUUCUCUGUUUUUCAUUAAUUAUAACAGAUGUAUUCUCUUAUGGUCUUCUAUAAUAAAGCACCAAGAUUUCCAUCUGGUUUACCCAUCACUUCAAAUAAGUUUGGUGAAUAUAAAUUUUCAGGUCAAUACUGUCGUAUUUCAUCGAGAUUCAUGAAAAACAAUUGUACUUUGACUAAUAUCAACCAUUGCUGUAAUACUUAAGGUUUUCAAGUGCUGAAUUCUAAAACAACAAAUAUACUGUAGUGCAUCACACUUAUAAUAUUGAAAAAGACAAUACUGUACAGUAAUGAAUUCCAGUGAACCAAAAGACCCUGUUCUUAAGUGUACAGUACAGACAGUGAACAGAAAUUUCCCGCUAGGCAUGAGGCCACGUGGCAAACAACAAGUUUUAAAUUUGUUCUGUUUUUACUAAUACAGUUACAGUAGUACUGAAUUUUACAUGGAGAAAUAACCAGAAUAAAAAAUGUUUCCUUUCCUA